CUGCUUCUUCUUCGCCGUCUCUGUGCGGCCUCUUCCUCUUCCUCUUCUAAACAAUGACGGAGGAAGAGGUAGCUAUGGAAGUGGAAGCUCUAGAAGCAGUUUACAGCGAAGACUGCGUUAUACUGGAUU
RNAcentral lists this small RNA (129 nucleotides) under Arabidopsis thaliana (thale cress). RNAcentral describes it as "ATSL186670". Lineage: Eukaryota; Viridiplantae; Streptophyta; Magnoliopsida; Brassicales; Brassicaceae. The record is from RNAcentral.